AAGUCGUAACAAGGUUUCCGUAGGUGAACCUGCGGAAGGAUCAUUACAAAUCGAAUGGGGGGGAUUAAGGGGGAUGUCUUGGCCGUAAGGUCUUGAUUGACCCAACCAUUCCCUCUCAAUACAUAUGCACAAGGCCGCAAGGUCUUGAUGUUUACGCUUGAUUGUUUGACAGAUUUUAUUCAGUACCAAUAUUUAGACAACUUUUAACAAUGGAUCUCUUGGCUCUUGC
Molecule: unclassified non-coding RNA, 229 nt
Filed under: fungal sp.
Lineage: Eukaryota; Fungi
Description: partial internal transcribed spacer region
Rfam family: Eukaryotic small subunit ribosomal RNA (bases 1-46)
Source: RNAcentral